GGCACAAUGAUUUCUACAUCCUUUUAUGUCACUACAAAGGUGGCACAACUUUACCUAUUCUCACUGCAUUUUUAUAAAAAUGAAAGAAAAUGUAGUGCCACUGCACUCUGGCUUCAGGAGACAGGAGAUGCCAACUAAAGCAGCCACAAGGGCUUGAGUGGAACAGCCAGGUGAGCAGCAGAAUCCACAGCUGGGGAUCCUGCCCAGACAAGCUCUGGUGCCAGUGUGAGAGUGGCUAUUAAAUGGUUCCAACACAAGACAUAGGGAACUGAAAACUCAUCUCUCGAAGGGUGGAAAAGAGAAAGGAUGAGAUGCUGACCUUCAACACAGCAGCUUGAGUGCUUAGGAAAAAUGAGUAGCUUAAGAAGAGUGUUAAAAUGUGUGGAAGAAACUAUGGCAUGGGGGGGAGAAUAGAGAGGAAAAAAGAGUAACCUGUAAGAUAGAAAAUGGAGGGAGCAAGGCAGUGAAAAUAAACAGGAUUAGAGAGAUAGUAAAGCUUAUAAAUGCAUUUGAUGCUACGCUUCUUUGUCUUUACAGAUGUCCCAGGUGGCAUAAAAAAUUAAUCAGGCAGGUUAGUGGGGAGGUGGAGUGGAUGUUCCCCAGAGGCCCCAUACAACCCCGACUAUUCUGGGAUUCUGUAGAGAUCAAAAGCAACAGGGAAUGGGGGCAGGAUAUCUUCCUUAUCUGAAUAAAAUUUGAGAUAUUUAAGCCUCUACCUGUUAUCAGCUCCAUCCCCAGCCUGGCCUGUUCUAAGGGAGGCACCCAGAUGCCCAGUUUACAUGGGUACUGCACCAGAGCAAAUCACAUCUGAACAUCCAUAAGAUUCUCUGUGUGGAAAUGUUAUUUUCAAAAACGGCUCAAGAGCUGCAGAAAUAAGUACAUUUCUGGGGAACUGCCAAGAUGCUGAAUAAAGUGACAUUUGUAACAGUAAUGAGCACCCCACUUUGCUUCUGAACAAAAGGCACUGCUCAAAAAGUGCAUCCAUGAAUAUAAUUUCCAUACAUUUCUGCAGAACCCAACCCCACCCCACAUUAGCACUGUGUCAGAGGAAAAAUUAAACAUUCAAGAUGAGAAAUACAAAGCUAAAGAUGAAACACAGAUUUAAACCAUGAUAGAUUUAACUUGGACUCAUCUUCAAUUAUUUGGCACUGCAUUUCUCUAAUUGUGUACAGGCUGCAUUUACUCUGGGGCCUGUGUUGUCUUCAAGGGUUUCUUCUGGCAAAGCUGAGACAACUGGAGAGAAACUACUGCUGCCUCUUGUCUGCCAGGAAACCACGUCCUAAGCACGUGGGCUUAGCCUGCAAGGAGCACAAGGAAAGCUCUCUGCAGAUGGGAUUUUAGAGCUGCUUUCAGCCAGCCAAGCCCUUGGGAAGCCCCAAGUGGCCUUACAAAGGAUAAACCCCUGUUUUGUCAAGACAGAGCAGUUUUUAUUACUCCAAGGAGGCAUCAUCAGUACUUCUCUAUGACAACAAAAGGGAGGGAAGCGGAAAUCGUGACACUGCGGAAACGUGAAAAAAAAGUUUCAGCAUCCCCAGCUGUGGGGGGCGGCCCCAGCGCCCGCUCCCAGCCCCAGGACAAUGGGGCUGGGCUGCCACCUUGGCCCGGUGCUGGGCUGCGGGACCGGCGGCAGCGAGCCAGGCGGCCUCGUACCCCCGCCACUCCGAACACACAGAACCGCCGGGCGCUGGGCGUGGAAGGGGCCGCUGGAGCUCACCCAGCCCAAACCCCGCUCAAGGCUGAAAUUUCAGGAUCCAAAUGCCUCGGCGAACGCUUUAGCAUGACAUUUGCAUGGCACAAGAAAAUCUUUCCAAAGGAUGGUUACUGGGUCAUUACAUUUUUACUUUACUUUAAAAGGUACAUUUACUCUAAUGUACUUUUUUACACUUAUUUAUAAGAUUAAAUAAUGCACUUGAGCCCGUUUGUAUUUUCUUUUUAUUAGAGAAAGAAGACAACCAUGAAAAUAAUUUUCGUACAGAUAAAAACAUAAUUAAGUUUAGAAAAACGCAACAAUUUUCUCUGAAACUUUAACUGGUGAAAUUGCAAUGCUGAAACUGCAUUUGAAAAAGUACAAAACCUUAUUAAUGAUACUUGCAGAAACGUCAGUGCUCAGGAAAUUCAAAAGUGAGCACGUGAAAACACAUUCUUUAAAAAGAGAGUGGGAAAACAGAAUGGAGAACUCAUUCUUU
Long non-coding RNA from Serinus canaria (Common canary), 2186 nucleotides. RefSeq lists it as uncharacterized. The record is from RefSeq and is a predicted model, not a curated record. The transcript has 2 exons. NCBI's taxonomy places the organism in Eukaryota, Metazoa, Chordata, Aves, Passeriformes, Fringillidae.